Molecule: ribosomal RNA, 477 nt
Filed under: Candidatus Scalindua wagneri
Lineage: Bacteria; Pseudomonadati; Planctomycetota; Candidatus Brocadiia; Candidatus Brocadiales; Candidatus Scalinduaceae
Description: bacterial SSU rRNA
Rfam family: Bacterial small subunit ribosomal RNA
Source: RNAcentral
UUCGCAAUGCCCGAAAGGGUGACGAUGCGACGCCGCGUGAGCGAAGAAGGCCCUAGGGUUGUAAAGCUCUGUCGAGGGUUAUGAAAUAUAGAUGGGUUAAUACCCCAUUUAUUUGACAAAAGCCCAAAAGGAAGCCACGGCUAACUCUGUGCCAGCAGCCGCGGUAAUACAGAGGUGGCGAGCGUUGUUCGGUGUUAUUGGGCGUAAAGAGCACGUAGGUGGUUUUGUAAGUCAGGUGUGAAAGCCUUCUGUUCAAAGGGAGAACGGCAUCUGAAACUGCAGAUCUUGAGUGUAGGAGGGGAGAGUGGAACUUCUGGUGGAGCGGUGAAAUGCGUAGAUAUCAGAAGGAACGUCGGCGGCGAAAGCGACUCUCUGGCCUAUUACUGACACUGAGUGUGCGAAAGUUAGGGGAGCAAACGGGAUUAGAUACCCCGGUAGUCCUAACCGUAAACGAUGGGCACUAAGUAGAGGGGUUUU